Molecule: ribosomal RNA, 505 nt
Filed under: uncultured bacterium
Lineage: Bacteria
Description: partial 16S ribosomal RNA
Rfam family: Bacterial small subunit ribosomal RNA
Source: RNAcentral
AGCGAACGUUAGCGGCGCGCCUAACACAUGCAAGUCGCACGGAGUAGCAAUACUCAGUGGCGCACGGGUGCGUAACACGUAGAUACCUGCCCUGAAGAGGGGGAUAACGCUCCGAAAGGAGCGCUAAUACCGCAUAACGCUGAGACGGGUUCGCCUGUUUCGGACAAAGGCUGGGACCAGCAAUGGCCAGUCGCUUUAGGAGGGGUCUGCGGCCCAUCAGCUAGUUGGUAAGGUAAUGGCUUACCAAGGCAAAGACGGGUAGCUGGUCUGAGAGGAUGAUCAGCCACACUGGUACUGGAACACGGACCAGACUCCUACGGGAGGCAGCAGUGGGGAAUCUUGGUCAAUGGGCGCAAGCCUGAACCAGCGACGCCGCGUGAGUGAUGAAGGCCUUCGGGUUGUAAAGCUCUGUGGGGAGGGACGAAAGACUGAGGUCUAAUAGGCUUCAGGUUGACGGUACCUCCUUAGCAAGCACCGGCUAACUCUGUGCCAGCAGCCGCUGUAA